RNAcentral lists this ribosomal RNA (253 nucleotides) under uncultured bacterium. RNAcentral describes it as "partial 16S ribosomal RNA". It matches the Rfam family "Bacterial small subunit ribosomal RNA", at positions 524 to 776 of the family's 1533-position model. The record is from RNAcentral.
UACGAAGGGGGCUAGCGUUGCUCGGAAUCACUGGGCGUAAAGGGCGCGUAGGCGGAUCUUUAAGUCGGGGGUGAAAGCCUGAGGCUCAACCUCAGAAUUGCCUUCGAUACUGGAGAUCUUGAGGCCAGAAGAGGUAAGUGGAACUGCGAGUGUAGAGGUGAAAUUCGUAGAUAUUCGCAAGAACACCAGUGGCGAAGGCGGCUUACUGGUCCGGUUCUGACGCUGAGGCGCGAAAGCCAGGGGAGCAAACGGG